ACAUGAUUUUUGAAAUUGGAUAAAUAAAAAUAUUACAUUUAUUUUCUUUUUUUAAUUUAUUAUUAUAGACAAUUGGGGCACAAAUAUAUAUUUUUUUUCUUAAUGACUUAAUAGAUACGUACUUCGGUAAAAAAAAUAAUAAGGGUGUGAAAGUUUUAAGGGAGGUGAAAUUUGUAUGUAAGGUUAUGAAUGGGGGUGGAUUGAAUUUCAAUGGAUGAAAUUGAAGGAUUUUUUUUUUUUUUU
This 243-nucleotide long non-coding RNA is filed under the name Capsicum annuum. RNAcentral's name for it is "long non-coding RNA (CANN_LNC018399)". Lineage: Eukaryota; Viridiplantae; Streptophyta; Magnoliopsida; Solanales; Solanaceae. The record is from RNAcentral.